GGAAUAUUGCACAAUGGGCGCAAGCCUGAUGCAGCCAUGCCGCGUGUAUGAAGAAGGCCUUCGGGUUGUAAAGUACUUUCAGCGGGGAGGAAGGCGGUGAGGUUAAUAAGCUCGCCGAUUGACGGUACCCGCAGAAGAAGCCCCGGAUAACUCCGUGCCAGCAGCCGCGGUAAUACGGAGGGUGCAAGCGUUAAUCGGAAUUACUUGGCGUAAAGCGCACGCAGGCGGUCUGUUAAGUCAGAUGUGAAAUCCCCGGGCUUAAACUGGGAACUGCAUUUGAAACUGGCAGGCUUGAGUCUUGUAGAGGGGGGUAGAAUUCCAGGUGUAGCGGUGAAAUGCGUAGAGAUCUGGAGGAAUACCGGUGGCGAAGGCGGCCCCCUGGACAAAGACUGACGCUCAGGUGCGAAAGCGUGGGGAGCA
Molecule: ribosomal RNA, 420 nt
Filed under: uncultured bacterium
Lineage: Bacteria
Description: bacterial SSU rRNA
Rfam family: Bacterial small subunit ribosomal RNA
Source: RNAcentral